Molecule: ribosomal RNA, 506 nt
Filed under: uncultured bacterium
Lineage: Bacteria
Description: partial 16S ribosomal RNA
Rfam family: Bacterial small subunit ribosomal RNA
Source: RNAcentral
GAUGAACGCUAGCGGCUGGCCUAACACAUGCAAGUCGAGGGGCAGCACAUAAAGUGGUUUACUACUUUUGGUGGCGACCGGCGGACGGGUGCGUAACGCGUAUGCAACCUGCCUCCAACAGGGGGAUAACGGAGAGAAAUUUCCACUAAUACCCCAUAAUAUCAGAAUCGGCAUCGGUUUUGGUUGAAAACUCCGGUGGUUGGAGAUGGGCAUGCGUUGUAUUAGACAGUUGGUGAGGUAACGGCUCACCAAGUCAACGAUACAUAGGGGGACUGAGAGGUUAGCCCCCCACACUGGUACUGAGACACGGACCAGACUCCUACGGGAGGCAGCAGUGAGGAAUAUUGGUCAAUGGGGGCAACCCUGAACCAGCCAUGCCGCGUGCAGGAAGACGGCUCUAUGAGUUGUAAACUGCUUUUACAAGGGGAUAAAUCGGUGUACGUGUACACCGUUGAAGGUACCUUGGGAAUAAGGAUCGGCUAACUCCGUGCCAGCCGCCGCAGUAA